Long non-coding RNA from Mercenaria mercenaria, 1093 nucleotides. RefSeq lists it as uncharacterized. Lineage: Eukaryota; Metazoa; Mollusca; Bivalvia; Venerida; Veneridae. The record is from RefSeq and is a predicted model, not a curated record. The transcript has 8 exons.
UUUAUUUUGGACAUGAUUUCGACAAUCUAACAGCCCUAAGUUCAUGACAUAAACAUGUGAUGUUAUCUUUACUAUAAAUUUUUAAAGCUGCGUUUAAUUUGAUACACCAUAUACUUUUAUGCGACAAAGUCAAAAUGAAAAGCGUUCUUAUCCUUUUUGCCUUUGGAUCGAUGACUUCUCUGCUUGUUACUGCCAGCUACAUGUGUAUUUGUAACAGGGAUACACUUGUGAAUCAACAGGUGUUUGAUUUGGUCCACUCACCCAUUGGAUAUUUAUACCCAAAUGAUUGCGCACCCUUUUUAAACAAUUCCAGAACCGAUCAUGGAUGGUUGUCCAUUCAAUUUCAAGGAGAGAGGGGGUAUAUAGAAAAGCAAGAAAGCGCAGUUUUAGACGAAUGCACUGGACCAUUCCCUACGGAAGACGAAGAGUCUACCGAAAUACCGAUGACAUACACCAUGUUUGUGUCAAGUAGUUACAAACCUCCUCCGCCAACGCCGGUACCAAGUCACAACACAACUCUUUCACCUGCGUUAUUAGGCAACGUGAAUCUAUGUCCCCCAUACGUAAUACAAGGGGCAAAUUCCAAUGGAUACUUACUGACUCAACAUCACCAUGUAUCACGAAGUAUGUCAGGACAAAGUGUCUUGGAACCAUGCAGAUAUGCUGUGUAAAGAACGAGGAGGGGAUCUGGUCACCAUACACAAUGACAAAGAAAAUAACUAUCUGAAUCAAGUACUCCAACAAGCUUAUAACCACAGAGUUUGGAUUGGGCUUCACGAUAAAAUAAAUGAGGAACAUUUUGAAUGGACAACAGGGGAGAAAGUGACUUAUACUCAUUGGAGACAACACCACAGAAAAAGUGCAAACCACACCCAUGAGGACUGUGUGUUAAUGUUUCAGAACGGCGUUUGGGAUGAUGUUCAGUGUGGUGGUAAACAUGUCAUGGAAGAGACAAUUAAUACACAUGCAUAUGUCUGUGAAUACAAAACACAUGGUUCUGGAUCUUCAAUAGUUGGCUGAAAAAAGCAGUCAUGAACGGAAUACAAGAACAUAUAAAAAACUGUGUUAAAAUAUAUUUCAUCGUUAAACACCG